AUGUAUGGUUUUGAUGAGGGUAUGCUUGUCACCAUGGAUCUUGGUGAUCCUACAAUCCAGCAAGACAAUAUGGACAUUUGGGUCCUUGUGGAUACACCUCCAAUUCUUCCCCCAUCUUAUUUUCAUUCUUUAAAGAAUGUGCGGAAGAUGGUAGACAAAACCCACGACACCGAUGGCUCCGAAUUAACUUAUAAGGAGAAAUAUCAUAUGAUCGCAUUUUGUAUUGAUCUUGAGAAUUACAAUGUCUACAAUCGAACUCCUCAACAUUAUGGUCAAUACGUGCCACUAGUGCACGUGUUGAACUACGGUAACUACCAUGGAGAUACCCUAGUAAGAAUUUUUUACUAUUACGACAUCCCUGCAUCUUUUUAA
This 372-nucleotide ribosomal RNA is filed under the name Triticum aestivum (bread wheat). Its description in RNAcentral is "partial small subunit ribosomal RNA". Lineage: Eukaryota; Viridiplantae; Streptophyta; Magnoliopsida; Poales; Poaceae. The record is from RNAcentral.